UCCCUGGUGGCUUAGACGGUAAAGCGUCUGCCUGCAAUGCAGGAGACCCAGGUUCGAUCCUUGGGUGGGGAA
RNAcentral lists this transfer RNA (72 nucleotides) under Bos taurus (domestic cattle). It matches the Rfam family "tRNA". Rfam says of the family: Transfer RNA (tRNA) molecules are approximately 80 nucleotides in length. Their secondary structure includes four short double-helical elements and three loops (D, anti-codon, and T loops). RNAcentral also lists the same sequence under 4 other names. Lineage: Eukaryota; Metazoa; Chordata; Mammalia; Artiodactyla; Bovidae. The record is from Rfam by way of RNAcentral.